Molecule: long non-coding RNA, 792 nt
Filed under: Daucus carota (carrot)
Lineage: Eukaryota; Viridiplantae; Streptophyta; Magnoliopsida; Apiales; Apiaceae
Description: long non-coding RNA (DCAR_LNC003388)
Source: RNAcentral
GAAUGAUGUCACCAAACUACAUGCUAAGCCCAAACCUUCGGCUGUCACCCAUUACUGAUGCACAAUUUUCUCCCUAUGUUGGUGGCAUGGGAUUUUCUCCUGCAUCUUCUCCAAGUUAUAGCCCCUCUUCACCUGGGUACAGCCCCUCCUCUCCUGGGUACAGCCCUGCCUCUCCUGGGUACAGCCCCGCCUCUCCUGGGUAUAGCCCUGCUUCACCUGGUUAUAGCCCCAGCUCACCAACAUAUAGUCCAAGCUCUCCAGGAUAUAGUCCUAGUAGCCCUACAUAUUCACCGACAAGUCCAUCCUACUCCCCUACCUCCCCCAGCUACAGCCCCACCUCCCCCAGCUACAGCCCCACCUCCCCAAGCUACAGCCCGACCUCCCCAAGCUACAGCCCCACCUCACCUGCCUACAGCCCCACCUCACCUGCUUACAGCCCCACCUCUCCGUCCUACAGCCCCACCUCUCCAUCCUACAGCCCGACCUCUCCGUCCUACAGCCCGAGCUCCCCGUCCUACAGCCCAACCUCCCCAUCCUACAGUCCAACCUCCCCAUCAUACAGCCCAACCUCACCUUCAUACAGUCCAACUUCUCCAUCAUAUAGUCCUACUUCUCCUGCAUACAGUCCCACAUCGCCGAGCUACAGUCCCACAUCUCCAAGCUAUAGUCCUACAUCUCCAAGCUACAACCCUUCAUCUGCAAAGUACAGCCCCUCCCUGGCAUAUUCCCCGAGCAGUCCAAGACUAUCACCAUCCAGCCCGUACAGUCCGACAUCCCCCAGUUACAGGCAAG